CGUCCUGUGGCCUGACAGGGAAGCAACGGUGUUACAUACCGUGAUAUGCGAGUUCGAAUCUCGCCAGGACGAC
Molecule: transfer RNA, 73 nt
Filed under: Rhodococcus phage NiceHouse
Lineage: Duplodnaviria; Heunggongvirae; Uroviricota; Caudoviricetes
Description: tRNA-Val
Rfam family: tRNA
About the family: Transfer RNA (tRNA) molecules are approximately 80 nucleotides in length. Their secondary structure includes four short double-helical elements and three loops (D, anti-codon, and T loops). Further hydrogen bonds mediate the characteristic L-shaped molecular structure. tRNAs have two regions of fundamental functional importance: the anti-codon, which is responsible for specific mRNA codon recognition, and the 3' end, to which the tRNAs corresponding amino acid is attached (by aminoacyl-tRNA synthetases). tRNAs cope with the degeneracy of the genetic code in two manners: having more than one tRNA (with a specific anti-codon) for a particular amino acid; and 'wobble' base-pairing, i.e. permitting non-standard base-pairing at the 3rd anti-codon position.
Source: RNAcentral